This 356-nucleotide ribosomal RNA is filed under the name uncultured Helicobacter sp. RNAcentral's name for it is "bacterial SSU rRNA". It matches the Rfam family "Bacterial small subunit ribosomal RNA", at positions 77 to 450 of the family's 1533-position model. The record is from RNAcentral. Lineage: Bacteria; Pseudomonadati; Campylobacterota; Epsilonproteobacteria; Campylobacterales; Helicobacteraceae.
CUUGCUAGAAGUGGAUUAGUGGCGCACGGGUGAGUAAUACAUAGAUAACAUACCCUUUAGUCUGGAAUAGCCACUGGAAACGGUGAUUAAUACUGGAUACUCCCUACGGGGGAAAGUUUUUCGCUAAAGGAUUGGUCUAUGUCCUAUCAGCUUGUUGGUGAGGUAAUGGCUCACCAAGGCUAUGACGGGUAUCCGACCUGAGAGGGUGAACGGACACACUGGAACUGAGACACGGUCCAGACUCCUACGGGAGGCAGCAGUAGGGAAUAUUGCUCAAUGGGGGAAACCCUGAAGCAGCAACGCCGCGUGGAGGAUGAAGGUUUUAGGAUUGUAAACUCCUUUUGUUAGAGAAGAUU